This 253-nucleotide ribosomal RNA is filed under the name uncultured bacterium. RNAcentral describes it as "partial 16S ribosomal RNA". It matches the Rfam family "Bacterial small subunit ribosomal RNA", at positions 524 to 776 of the family's 1533-position model. The record is from RNAcentral.
UACAGAGGUCCCAAGCGUUGUUCGGAUUCACUGGGCGUAAAGGGUGCGUAGGCGGUCGGGUAAGUCUGAUGUGAAAUCUCACAGCUUAACUGUGAAACUGCAUUGGAUACUAUCCGGCUCGAGGAAUGGAGGGGAGACUGGAAUACUUGGUGUAGCAGUGAAAUGCGUAGAUAUCAAGUGGAACACCAGUGGCGAAGGCGUGUCCCUGGACAACUUCUGACGCUGAGGCACGAAAGCUAGGGGAGCAAACAGG